CUAGCCGGCUCUAGCUCGCUGCCCCGCCGCGGGCGCAGAGCUGGCGCUCUAGCCCACGGAGUUGGCCAGCUCCUCUCGCCGGCCCCAGGAAAGGGUUCCAAGUCGGUUUAGUACCCGACGCUGUCUGGGAGUUCCGGGCGUUUCGGCUCCUUGGUCGCAGAGGCAGGAGGCGUGCGUGGGAGGAGGACUCGGGUUAUAUACUCCUACGUCCUGGGACGGAAUAGUUACCACCUCUGGGGCAGGAACUCUUCUCUCUUUUGUUAAUAAACUUCUAACUCCCUCCUCAGACCCGACUGCAUGUCUGUCAUGGACCUCGCCGGUACUUGCUCCAGCUUUCAGUCGGACUUGGAUUUCUGUUCAGAUUGCGGCUCGGUCCUGCCUCUGCCCGGGGCUCAGGAUACGGUCACCUGUACUCGCUGUGGCUUCAACAUCAACGUUCGGGACUUUGAGGGGAAGGUUGUGAAGACUUCAGUUGUGUUCCACCAACUGGGGACAGCCAUGCCUAUGUCGGUGGAGGAAGGGCCUGAGUGCCAGGGACCUGUGGUUGACAGGCGCUGCCCUCGAUGUGGUCAUGAAGGAAUGGCAUACCACACCAGACAGAUGCGUUCAGCCGAUGAAGGGCAAACUGUCUUCUACACCUGUACCAACUGCAAGUACCUUGAAGCACUAUCAAGCUGGAAUUACUUUAAAUAAAUUCUUGGCUUCAUGUUUUUUGGAGCACACAGAUAGUAUGAAUUUGAGCUGCAAAUCCAUGUUCCAGGAGAAGGAAGACUCUUGACCUUUUUCCUGGGCAACUCAACAGUCCCUCCCUCCUUUUGGAAGGUGAAGGAUACUGGGUUUUUAGAUGCCUUGUCCAUCCCAUCUGGUUGCAAUGUGUUGCUCCUAGAAGAGAUUCAGAUCAUCAUGUGGGGAUUACCAUUGUUCCUGGAGUACUCCUACCCUUAAUUGAAUUUCCUUAUUAAAGUUAUAUUUUCCUAAAAGACCCUGA
Macaca mulatta (Rhesus monkey) is the source of this 988-nucleotide non-coding RNA. The record is from RefSeq and is a predicted model, not a curated record. NCBI's taxonomy places the organism in Eukaryota, Metazoa, Chordata, Mammalia, Primates, Cercopithecidae.